GAACGCUGGCGGCGUGCUAACACAUGCAGUCGCACGAGAAAGCCCGGUUCGCCGGGCGAGUAAAGUGGCGCACGGGUGAGUAACGCGUGGAUAAUCUACCUCGUUCUGGGGGAUAACCCAUCGAAAGGUGGGCUAAUACCGCAUAAUCCGGCUGAUUCAUGGAUUGGUCGGCAAAGGUGGCCUCUUGAUCAAAGCUACCGGGAAGAGAUGAGUCCGCGUCCCAUUAGCUUGUUGGUAGGGUAACGGCCUACCAAGGCGACGAUGGGUAGCUGGUCUGAGAGGACGAUCAGCCACACUGGAACUGGUACACGGUCCAGACUCCUACGGGAGGCAGCAGUGAGGAAUAUUGCGCAAUGGGGGAAACCCUGACGCAGCGAUGCCGCGUGGGUGAAGAAGGCCUUCGGGUCGUAAAGCCCUGUCAAGUGGGAAGAAUAGCCUGGGGACGAAUAAUCCUCAGGUGUGACGGUACCACUGAAGGAAGCACCGGCUAACUCCGUGCCAGCAGCCGCGGUAAGACGGAGGGUGCAAGCGUUAUUCGGAAUUAUUGGGCGUAAAGAGCGUGUAGGCGGCGGUCAAGCCAGAUGUGAAAGCCCAGGCCUUACCCUGGAAGGGCAUUGGAACUUGGUUGGCUUGAGU
This 636-nucleotide ribosomal RNA is filed under the name uncultured bacterium. RNAcentral's name for it is "bacterial SSU rRNA". It matches the Rfam family "Bacterial small subunit ribosomal RNA", at positions 31 to 647 of the family's 1533-position model. The record is from RNAcentral.